This 253-nucleotide ribosomal RNA is filed under the name Phocaeicola plebeius DSM 17135. RNAcentral describes it as "partial 16S ribosomal RNA". It matches the Rfam family "Bacterial small subunit ribosomal RNA", at positions 524 to 776 of the family's 1533-position model. Lineage: Bacteria; Pseudomonadati; Bacteroidota; Bacteroidia; Bacteroidales; Bacteroidaceae. The record is from RNAcentral.
UACGGAGGAUGCGAGCGUUAUCCGAAUUUAUUGGGUUUAAAGGGAGCGCAGACGGGUCGUUAAGUCAGCUGUGAAAGUUUGGGGCUCAACCUUAAAAUUGCAGUUGAUACUGGCGUCCUUGAGUGCGGUUGAGGUGUGCGGAAUUCGUGGUGUAGCGGUGAAAUGCUUAGAUAUCACGAAGAACUCCGAUUGCGAAGGCAGCACACUAAGCCGUAACUGACGUUCAUGCUCGAAAGUGUGGGUAUCAAACAGG